CCCGCUGAACUUAAGCAUAUCAAUAAGCGGAGGAAAAGAAACCAACAGGGAUUGCCUCAGUAACGGCGAGUGAAGCGGCAACAGCUCAAAUUUGAAAUCUGGCCUCUUUGGGGUCCGAGUUGUAAUUUGUAGAGGAUGUUUUGGGUACCGCGCCGGUUUAAAUUUCUUGGAACAGAAUGUCAGAGAGGGUGAGAAUCCCGUCUUGGACCGGCGUAGGGCCCGUGUAAAACUCCUUCGACGAGUCGAGUUGUUUGGGAAUGCAGCUCAAAAUGGGUGGUAAAUUUCAUCUAAAGCUAAAUAUUGGCCAGAGACCGAUAGCGCACAAGUAGAGUGAUCGAAAGAUGAAAAGCACUUUGAAAAGAGAGUUAAACAGUAUGUGAAAUUGUUGAAAGGGAAGCGCUUGCAACCAGACUUGCGCGCGGCGGUUCCCCCUUCCUUUUGGUUGGGCUAUUCCGUCGUGUCCAGGCCAACAUCGGUUCUGGGGGUCGGUUAAAGACUUGGGGAAUGUAUCUACCCUUCGGGCGUAGACUUAUAGCCCCGAGUGUCAUGCGGCCUCCCGGGACCGAGGAACGCGCUCCGGCUCGGAUGUUGGCGUAAUGGUUGUCAGCGACCCGUCUUGAAACACGG
This 627-nucleotide ribosomal RNA is filed under the name uncultured fungus. RNAcentral's name for it is "eukaryotic LSU rRNA". It matches the Rfam family "Eukaryotic large subunit ribosomal RNA", at positions 24 to 664 of the family's 3401-position model. Lineage: Eukaryota; Fungi. The record is from RNAcentral.